AAACGAUUGAAGCCAGUCGUACUGACGGGUAAUCAACCUUUAGGGUGCGAUUUUGUGGGUUUUGAGGAGCUUCACGGCCCUCAUGGUCUGCAUAUUUGUGCCAUUUGGGUGUACUUACCUGGCAGUAGGUUAACAUCAAUUUUGAUCGUCAUAAAAUGAUGGGAGGAAUGUAGCUU
Molecule: ribosomal RNA, 176 nt
Filed under: Glomerales sp.
Lineage: Eukaryota; Fungi; Glomeromycota; Glomeromycetes; Glomerales; Glomeraceae
Description: partial large subunit ribosomal RNA
Source: RNAcentral